CUCAUUGGUGAUGGGACCCUAAUUAGUUCUAGGUGCAAAUGAGGCACACAGAAUGUGCUUUGAAGCUAUUUGGGGCAAUUUGUAUCCUACAAGGAUAUACAGCUACUCUUUUUCCAUGGAUACUCUUCCAAUUCUACUCAACUGUGGGGUAUCCCCUUUUUUCUGGUGGGUAUUGUUUAAAGAUUCACUGUGCAUCAAACAUAUAUUUGCUUUAUGCAAAUCAAUUAAGAACUGCAAAGAAUACAGUCCUCCCCUUUCAUGCACUAUAGUGCUGGGUUUCCAUUUUAAUGAGAAUUGGGAACAACAUAACUGAAUUGGACAUUCCUUCAAGUUGCAAUGGGACUUUAUAGAACAUAUCCUUAAAGAAACUCCACUAAAGUGCCCUUCUCUGAUUCAUUAUCAUGGCAUGAAGGUGACCCUAGGCUGGCAAAGGUCUAAUCCAAGAACUCGAAUGACAGUCUGGAAAGCUACAGAGGCUUCUCAUCCACAAUGGGGGAGGGGCUCAAGAGGACUAGAAUCUGGAGGGAUGAGAUUCUAAGAGUGGAAACCAUUGCUCUCUCUCUCUCUCUCUCUCUCUCUCUCUCUCUCUCUCUCUCUCUCUCUCUCUCUCUCUCUCUCUCUACUGCAAAGAGGAAAGUCUGUCUGAAACUGGAUCCUGAGCACUAGACUAAAUCCCUCCUUGAACCUGAAUACUACACCCCCUCAAAGAUCCCAGCAAGAAGUGUCAAAAACCUGAGAAGAGGAAGAAACAGCCCUAAAAAGAAUCUCUCACAUCUCCUUGACACCCUGGGUCUGGAUAUUGCUCUGCUGUGACAAAGACCCGGGUUCACCAAACCUGAACCUCUCAGAGGUCAGGCUGUCAAGCCAGGGUCUCUCAACUUUGGAGGGAGGGAAGGAAGAUUUAGAUAGACAGGGACCGCCUUUCCCCUCCUUUCUCUAGACCCUAACCCUUCAGACAUCUUCCUGUUUACUGCUGACAAUAAUUGUUUAGAAUAAAGAGUGUAAUCUA
Non-coding RNA from Monodelphis domestica (gray short-tailed opossum), 1009 nucleotides. The record is from RefSeq and is a predicted model, not a curated record. NCBI's taxonomy places the organism in Eukaryota, Metazoa, Chordata, Mammalia, Didelphimorphia, Didelphidae.